ACGUGUAUUCUCUUUUUUACUAACAGAAUUACAUACACAAUUUUCCAUCGGGGGGCCCACACGGAUUAUAGCAAAUACACAUUUUUACCAUCACCAUUUAUGAGGUCCACGAAUUCACACAUUAGAGAAACUUUAUACAUAAUAUAUAUUCACAUAUUCAUUAACAAAAAGGACCUUCUUCUCCAUAAGAUACACAUAUAAAGCUACAUUAUUGGCAUCUUCAUUCUUCUUCUCCAUAAUCCAUACACAACAACACUCACGGACCCACAGAAUUCCACACACCACAAUACACCACAUAUAGACGGCUUCUUCUUCACCAUCAUUUACGCCAUAUACACCAUAUGCACAAACACCUCACGACAUAUACAUUACACACACAAUUCAAUUUAGGGAGAUUCUAUUUUCUUCUCCUCUUCGCUAGUGCACACAGAAGGAAACGACAACAAUUCACGCACACCCAAUCUCAACACCACACCAUUCCCACAAAAAACCUCAUAUUGAUACACACUCACAGACGCACACAGUGAGAGUAAAUCGAAGUGAGCGAAAUAGAGAUAUGGGAGGGUGAGAGAGAUGAGGCGGCAGAGAGAAAGUAAUGGAGAGAUAAAGAGAGUAACAAAGAGAGUAAAACCCAUAGUUACGAAGGACGCCAUUUUUUGAGGGGGUUCUUUUCUUCACAAGAAUCAGAGGAGAGAAUAGGAUAAGAAAUAGAGAAGGGGGAAUUAUUAGAGUACGUGCCCUACUGAUCAGUGACUUUAACGUAAGAGUUUCCUAUAGAUGAAAUGGGCUUCCUGACGCGUUCCAAGGAUGUAGUAAAACAGAAAGUAAUGAACACAAUGAUUUUUACGUGUAAAACACCUAGCUCAAAAAGGUGUAAAAAACCACGACCUGCACCUCUACAGUAUUUAACCCCAACUUCACUAAAUAACUCUGAGCCUUAACAACGACUGAUUACAAAACUCUUGUAACCAACAAAUAGGAAUUAUAAACUCUAAUUUCUUUAACUCAACGACUAGGAAUUAUAAACUCUAAUUCUUAACUAUACACAUACCUCCCAAGGUAUGCGUUCCCAAAGUCUCUGAGUUUUUCCCAACUCGAAGACUAGCUUCUAGUUCAGUUUAUAACACAUUGAAACUAAUAUUACAUCAAUAGUUCAAAUACAAUGAACAAAUCUAAAAAUCAAUGCUAAAGCUCUUAGCUGGAUUCUAUACUUAGGACCAGGUUCUUCAAUGUGUUUUUUCAUUGAUUGAGUAGCACUUUAUGAAGUCAAUCUGUCGAUUGUUAUUUUCUUCUUUGUAAGUGCGUGAGUUUAUUCUGAUUGAUGCAUCUUUUAUUUAAGCACAACUCUUUAAAGAGUUAUUCUUUAUUUCAAACUGCCCC
This 1380-nucleotide long non-coding RNA is filed under the name Capsicum annuum. RNAcentral's name for it is "long non-coding RNA (CANN_LNC017949)". The record is from RNAcentral. Lineage: Eukaryota; Viridiplantae; Streptophyta; Magnoliopsida; Solanales; Solanaceae.